CAGCAGGUUGGGAGCCGGUUGCUGUCCUACUGGUGGCUUGAAGUCUGAGAUAGUCAGAGUGUUUACACCACAGAAGUCAGGAGACGCUACAAGUCAGGGGAUUUGUGGGUUUUCUCCUUUCAGAUUUCUGGUUUACUAGCACACCACUGCUUGGUACUGUCAAAUUUCUUUAUUUCUCAAAUUAAAUUAGAAAGGGUGGUCCUGGAAUCACCUCCAUUGACUAUGUUCACAAUGGUGCCUUGUUAACAUGCAGAUUCUCAGGCGCAGAAUCUCCAGGGGAGGCCUGGGCCUCUGAGUUUUGAUCGUGAUGUUGAUGGUGAUGAGUUUUAUGCACAUUCACAUUGAGAGCCGCUGGACCAGCCUUUCAGGCACCUGGAGUCCAGGGACUCGGAGACCUGGGGGACCCUUGGUCAUUGUCCUUCACUUCCCUCUUUAAGGCCCCCCCCACCAGGGAAGUUCACUGUCCCCUCCACUUCCCUGUCCUGGUCAACACAGUGCUUCUGCUUUGACAGUUAACAAAGAGCCCGUUUACUGAUUUUUUCCAGGGACGGCCGCAGUGGCCUGGUGACUUGCGAUGGGAAGUCUGGAACACAGAUGGCUGACUGCUUGCUGUGUGGGUAGUGGUGACACCUUCAGUUGUGAACCACUCCCAGGGAGACAGACGUCUCAAACACGUGUGUGUGCAGGGGUCCUCCACCUACUCGCUGCUCAGAGCAACGCAUCCCCAGGGUCUUACGAACCCAGAAUACGGGCCCAGACCUCUACUCUUUUAUCCUGACCAGCACCUCUCACACUGGAGCCCAGGAAACCCCUGGACAUCUUGUGAAGAGGUAAUGGUUGCCUCUCUCGAAGUUGAUGCUUCCUGAGGAAAGUCUGAAAAUUUCUCAGCUUUAGACAUGGCCGUUGAUCUGUUGAGGUUUCCCAGGUCUUCUGGAAUGAAUCAUCCAGUCCAUGACUCCCACCGGGAGCGCUGCCGUCUCUGGCUGGAGUCUGAGGCACCGUCAUGAAAGGAGGAGUUCACCGACCCCUUGGCUCCACUCUAUGACAUUUCUGGAUUCCGAUCAUCCGAAACUUCGCCCCAACAGCGAAGGUUUAAGGCAGGGAGAAGCCCUCCAGGGCGUGAGGUCCCCACAUCCACCUGCAGUCCUCCAGCGUCCUGCAGCCGGCACAGGGAGGAUGAGCGGCAUGUAGGCACCGUUAAUGGGAAAUGAGACAGGGAACCUGCAUGUCUCCUGAUCUGACCUGGGAGGCAGGCGUGAGGGUCUGGAAACCUACCCUAUGUUGCCCAGGACCCCUGGGAAUUUUCUGUGCCCCAGGGCUUAGGUGCCCAGGGGAAAAUCACAUCUCUGGCUUGUUUCCAAAUUAACGUUGAGUCCACGUUUCCCUCCGGGCAGUGACUGUCCCAACACCUACACAGGACCCAGCCAACAUUCAAGAACUCUGCGCUGAGUUGAUAUGUGUCAAACAGGUUGCACUUGCUAAGAAGCCCCACACGGCCGUGGGCAGAGGUCUGGGCUUGGGGCCGAAGUCGCCUCAGCCCUUGGGAAGAAAGGGAGACGUGCCCUAGCUGGCAAGACAAGCUCUGAGCCCACAAACAGAACCUCUGGUCUCCAGGCCGCAGGUCCCCCUGGGGAGACCAGGUGACAUCCCCCUCCUCCCGGAAAGCUGCCCACAGGUCAGUGCCCUGGAAACCCUCUUACCACCAGCAGCAGGCUCCAAGCCUAAGCUGAACUUUUCUAGC
Equus caballus (horse) is the source of this 1741-nucleotide long non-coding RNA. RefSeq lists it as uncharacterized. The record is from RefSeq and is a predicted model, not a curated record. Lineage: Eukaryota; Metazoa; Chordata; Mammalia; Perissodactyla; Equidae.